GCUAGGAAUAGGAAUAAAGAGAUGCCCUAAGAGCAACGGGAAUGAGAACAUAGAGGAAAAACUAACUUAUUGGUUCUUCACCUCUUUUGUUGACAUGGAAAUCCCUUUUGGUAUUUCCCAAUGCCUCUCAUUCCUAUCGUUCUUAUGCACCUCCUUCCUUUUCCUUUUCGUU
RNAcentral lists this microRNA precursor (172 nucleotides) under Triticum aestivum (bread wheat). RNAcentral describes it as "MIR2118 microRNA precursor family". It matches the Rfam family "MIR2118 microRNA precursor family". The record is from Rfam by way of RNAcentral. RNAcentral also lists the same sequence under 1 other name. Lineage: Eukaryota; Viridiplantae; Streptophyta; Magnoliopsida; Poales; Poaceae.